RNAcentral lists this ribosomal RNA (206 nucleotides) under uncultured bacterium. Its description in RNAcentral is "partial 16S ribosomal RNA". It matches the Rfam family "Bacterial small subunit ribosomal RNA", at positions 568 to 774 of the family's 1533-position model. The record is from RNAcentral.
CUCGUAGGCGGCCAACUAAGUCACACGUGAAAUCCCUCAGCUUAACUGGGGAACUGCGUGUGAUACUGGAUGGCUUGGAUCCGGGAGAGGGAUGCGGAAUUCCAGGUGUAGCGGUGAAAUGCGUAGAUAUCUGGAGGAACACCGGUGGCGAAGGCGGCAUCCUGGACCGGUAUUGACGCUGAGGAGCGAAAGCCAGGGAGCAAACG